GGGCAGCACGGUUAUAGCAAUAUAUGGGUGGCGACCGGCAAACGGGUGCGGAACACGUACACAACCUUCCGGUGAGCGGGGGAUAGCCCAGAGAAAUUUGGAUUAAUACCCCAUACUAUAAUGAUCAGGCAUCUGGUUAUUAUCAAAGGCUUCGGCCGCUUAUUGAUGGGUGUGCGUCUGAUUAGGUAGUUGGCGGGGUAGAGGCCCACCAAGCCUACGAUCAGUAGCUGAUGUGAGAGCAUGAUCAGCCACACGGGCACUGAGACACGGGCCCGACUCCUACGGGAGGCAGCAGUAAGGAAUAUUGGACAAUGGACGCAAGUCUGAUCCAGCCAUGCCGCGUGAAGGAUGAAUGCCCUCUGGGUUGUAAACUUCUUUUACAGGGGAAGAA
Molecule: ribosomal RNA, 391 nt
Filed under: uncultured Ralstonia sp.
Lineage: Bacteria; Pseudomonadati; Pseudomonadota; Betaproteobacteria; Burkholderiales; Burkholderiaceae
Description: bacterial SSU rRNA
Rfam family: Bacterial small subunit ribosomal RNA
Source: RNAcentral